UUUGCACAUUAAAAUAACUUUGAAUGUCAUAAACUCUUAGUCUGCAUGGUGUUGAUGUUCUCUCCACCCACAAACACGCCAAGUAAAUAUCUUGUGUCUAAUAACAGUGGCAUCUGCUCAACUAGUGCAUCCAGCAGCUCCCCUCUAUGGGGCUUCUUGUACUGAUGUCCUGGGUGGACACUGCUCACAGAACAAACAGGAGGUAUUCAGACCAGGAGAACCAGUCCGUCCUGAUUACGUAAGUUGUUUACUAAAAUCUCACUUGAGAAAGGGUUUCUACUGCAAUAUGUUGUGUCACUUGGGUGUGAUAUAUUACAUUAUGAAUGGAUUAGGCUAUGCAUAGGAAUGAGUCGAUGAGUAGGGAUAUUUGUUAAUGAGAGAGGUACAGGAUAGAGGUACAGGAUAGAGGUACGGGAUAGAGGUACGGGAUAGAGGUACGGAAUAGUGGUACGGGAUAGAGGUACUGUCACGUUCUUUCAGAAUCGAACCCAGAAGCAGACCAGGACAAGGAGAGUAGGAAGAAGGUGAGUAUUUAUUUACAAGUGAAUGUGAAUGGGUAGAUAUAUCCAGGUGACGUAGCGGACAGCAGUGGUGAGUUGAUGGGAGUAAAUAGGUGGAUCCAAUGGGGUAGCGGAAUCCUCCGACGACCAGGCGGGAAUGGGGUAAAUGAUCCGGGUGAGUAACUGAAGACAAACGGAGGUAAGUUUAAGGCAAGCAAUACGUAAAAAACAACAAAACUAAUUCUAUCCAACUUGAGGCUGAUACUAUGGCACAACAUACUGUUCAUGGCUAACGAUCCGGCAGGGAAUGGAUGUCAGGUCAGAGCUUUUGAAGGGGAGAGGUGAUGAUCAGGACAGGUGUGCAGAUUACUGAUGGGAUACAGGUGCUGGUGAACAUCGAUCUCCCAACAAGCUAAUUCGCCUCGACCCCGCCGUCUGGAAUCCAUUAUGCAGCGCACCGUGUAGGCAGGACCACCUCCGAUCAUCCAAGGAGGAGGAGAACGAGGAGGAGGGGGCAACAGAGGACUGAGGAGA
Molecule: long non-coding RNA, 1034 nt
Filed under: Oncorhynchus kisutch (coho salmon)
Lineage: Eukaryota; Metazoa; Chordata; Actinopteri; Salmoniformes; Salmonidae
Description: lncRNA (ENSOKIG00005044897.1)
Source: RNAcentral